UGAGUAACCUGCCCUUAACUCUGGGAUAAGCCUGGGAAACUGGGUCUAAUACCGGAUAUGACUCCUCAUCGCAUGGUGGGGGGUGGAAAGCUUUAUUGUGGUUUUGGAUGAACUCGCGGCCUAUCAGCUUGUUGGUGAGGUAAUGGCUCACCAAGGCGACGACGGGUAGCCGGCCUGAGAGGGUGACCGGCCACACUGGGACUGAGACACGGCCCAGACCUCCUACGGGAGGCAG
This 235-nucleotide ribosomal RNA is filed under the name uncultured bacterium. RNAcentral's name for it is "partial 16S ribosomal RNA". It matches the Rfam family "Bacterial small subunit ribosomal RNA", at positions 118 to 351 of the family's 1533-position model. The record is from RNAcentral.